This 69-nucleotide transfer RNA is filed under the name Marmota monax (woodchuck). RNAcentral's name for it is "tRNA.Asp". Lineage: Eukaryota; Metazoa; Chordata; Mammalia; Rodentia; Sciuridae. The record is from RNAcentral.
GGAGUUGUAGCUCAGUGGUAGAGCACUUGCCUAUCGUGUGAGGCACUGGGUUCGAUUCUCAGCACUGCA